ACGAACGCUGGCGGCGUGCUUAACACAUGCAAGUCGAACGGGCCCGCUCUCUUUUUUGGGGGUGGGUUGAGUGGCGAACGGGUGAGUAUCACGUGAGUAACCUGCCCCCUGCUCCUGGAUAACUGCUUGAAAGGGCGGCUAAUACGGGGUGUGCCGGCUGGUCCGCAUGGGCCUGGUCGGGAUAGUUUCAUCUUCGGGUGUUUCGGUGGGGGAUGGGCUCGCGGCCUAUCAGCUUGUUGGUGGGGUGAUGGCCCACCAAGGCGGUGACGGGUAGCCGGCCUGAGAGGGUGGGCGGCCACACUGGGACUGAGACACGGACCAGACUCCUGCGGGAGGCAGCAGUGGGGGGUAUUGCACAAUGGGCGGAAGCCUGAUGCAGCGACGUCGCGUGAGGGAUGGAGGCCUUCGGGUUGUGAACCUCUUUCUCCGGUGGUGAAGGCCCUGUCCGUUGCGGCGGGGUUGACGGUAGCCGGGGAUGAAGCGCCGGCUAACUACGUG
This 498-nucleotide ribosomal RNA is filed under the name uncultured bacterium. RNAcentral's name for it is "partial 16S ribosomal RNA". It matches the Rfam family "Bacterial small subunit ribosomal RNA", at positions 29 to 507 of the family's 1533-position model. The record is from RNAcentral.